CCUACGGGUGGCAGCAGUGGGGAAUAUUGCACAAUGGGAGAAACCCUGAUGCAGCAACGCCGCGUGAGUGAAGAAGUAUUUCGGUAUGUAAAGCUCUAUCAGCAGGGAAGAAAAUGACGGUACCUGACUAAGAAGCCCCGGAUAACUACGAGCCAGCAGCGGCGGUAAUACGUCGGGGGCAAGCGUUAUCCGGAUUUACUGGGUGUAAAGGGAGGGUAGGUGGCAUGGUAAGCCAGAAGUGAAAACCCAGGGGUCAACCCUGUGGAUUGCUUUUGGAACUAUCCAGCUAGAGUGCUGGAGGGGGAAGCGGAAUGCCUAGGGUAGCGGUGAAAUGCGUAGAUAUUAGGAGGAACACCGGUGGCGAAGGCGGCUUACUGGACAGAAACUGACACUGAGGCUCGAAAGCGUGGGGAGCAAACAGGAUUAGAUACCCCGGGAGUC
Molecule: ribosomal RNA, 441 nt
Filed under: uncultured bacterium
Lineage: Bacteria
Description: partial 16S ribosomal RNA
Rfam family: Bacterial small subunit ribosomal RNA
Source: RNAcentral